GACUCACGCGGGAAUCUUACCGGGUCCGGACACACUGAGGAUUGACAGGUUUCGAGAGUUUUUUUGGAGUUCGCUCCAGAAUGCUCUCUUAAAUAUGCUAGUCCUUUCAUGAUUAUGUGAUAGGUGGUGCAUGGCCGUUCUUAGUUCGUGGAGUGAUCUGUCUGCUUAAUUGCGUUUCACUAAAGGCGUCAUUAUAUUUUUGUGCUUGUGUUUGACCCCUCUUUCUUCGGAUUGAGCGCGUGUCUUUCACACACAAUUACUUUGACGUCUGAAAGCAACGAACGUGACCGUAACCUCUUGUUGCCUUCUCUUCUCUUCGGAGAAUGCUAGUUUUUUUCUUCGGAUAAAUUCUAGUAUAUGGAGGCUUUUACUCAAACUAGAGGGACCGCUGUUACUUUCUUUAAACCAGAGGAAGGUUGCGGCAAUAACAGGUCUGUGAUGC
This 442-nucleotide ribosomal RNA is filed under the name Elphidium sp. S4. RNAcentral's name for it is "SSU rRNA". It matches the Rfam family "Eukaryotic small subunit ribosomal RNA", at positions 1197 to 1470 of the family's 1831-position model. The record is from RNAcentral. Lineage: Eukaryota; Foraminifera; Rotaliida; Elphidiidae.